RNAcentral lists this ribosomal RNA (669 nucleotides) under uncultured Staphylococcus sp. Its description in RNAcentral is "bacterial SSU rRNA". It matches the Rfam family "Bacterial small subunit ribosomal RNA", at positions 73 to 727 of the family's 1533-position model. Lineage: Bacteria; Bacillati; Bacillota; Bacilli; Caryophanales; Staphylococcaceae. The record is from RNAcentral.
GAGGAGCUUGCUCCUCUGACGUUAGCGGCGGACGGGUGAGUAACACGUGGAUAACCUACCUAUAAGACUGGGAUAACUUCGGGAAACCGGAGCUAAUACCGGAUAAUAUAUUGAACCGCAUGGUUCAAUAGUGAAAGACGGUUUUGCUGUCACUUAUAGAUGGAUCCGCGCCGCAUUAGCUAGUUGGUAAGGUAACGGCUUACCAAGGCAACGAUGCGUAGCCGACCUGAGAGGGUGAUCGGCCACACUGGAACUGAGACACGGUCCAGACUCCUACGGGAGGCAGCAGUAGGGAAUCUUCCGCAAUGGGCGAAAGCCUGACGGAGCAACGCCGCGUGAGUGAUGAAGGUCUUCGGAUCGUAAAACUCUGUUAUUAGGGAAGAACAAAUGUGUAAGUAACUAUGCACGUCUUGACGGUACCUAAUCAGAAAGCCACGGCUAACUACGUGCCAGCAGCCGCGGUAAUACGUAGGUGGCAAGCGUUAUCCGGAAUUAUUGGGCGUAAAGCGCGCGUAGGCGGUUUUUUAAGUCUGAUGUGAAAGCCCACGGCUCAACCGUGGAGGGUCAUUGGAAACUGGAAAACUUGAGUGCAGAAGAGGAAAGUGGAAUUCCAUGUGUAGCGGUGAAAUGCGCAGAGAUAUGGAGGAACACCAGUGGCGAAGGCGACUU